UACGUAGGGGGCUAGCGUUGUCCGGAUUUAUUGGGCGUAAAGCGCGCGUAGGCGGCUUUGUAAGUUAGAGGUGAAAGCCUGGAGCUCAACUUCAGAAUUGCCUUUAAGACUGCAUCGCUUGAAUCCGGGAGAGGUGAGUGGAAUUCCGAGUGUAGAGGUGAAAUUCGUAGAUAUUCGGAAGAACACCAGUGGCGAAGGCGGCUCACUGGACCGGCAUUGACGCUGAGGUGCGAAAGCGUGGGGAGCAAACAGG
This 253-nucleotide ribosomal RNA is filed under the name uncultured bacterium. RNAcentral describes it as "partial 16S ribosomal RNA". It matches the Rfam family "Bacterial small subunit ribosomal RNA", at positions 524 to 776 of the family's 1533-position model. The record is from RNAcentral.